Molecule: long non-coding RNA, 3260 nt
Filed under: Equus asinus (donkey)
Lineage: Eukaryota; Metazoa; Chordata; Mammalia; Perissodactyla; Equidae
Description: lncRNA (ENSEASG00005024366.1)
Source: RNAcentral
ACUAUGUACCUGGGAUGUCUUGCUCACAUUAACAGACUGUUUUAGGGAACGCUUGUAAGGCAACCUCUGAAAGCCUAUUUUUGGGGAGGGAAGCAGCUCUUAGAAUCUGCUUGCAUUGCUUUUAAAGUCUGACCCUCUGUGUCUGAAGUUCUUACUGUUGCUCUUGGGAGGGUCAUGUAACUAGCUACAUUUCUCAUUGCAAACAAGCAAAAGCAGGGUGCCUCACAGAGUAAGACUCACAUUCAAAUUGCCAUCCAUGACCAAUCUGUUGGCAUUGGUGGGCAGUCUCCCUUAGCCUGUGCCCAAGGAGAAGCAAGAUAUGCCACCUCAGGGCUCUAAAAACCCAAAUCCCCACUUCUUAGUAGGAGAACCACACUGAGUCAUGAUGCAAAAAAACCAUAACAAAACACCCAUAACUAAAGUGCAAAUUCAAGCGAUCCUUUGAAAUCACAGUUUUAAAAAAGAGUACACUUGAAACAGAGUAAACCGGUUCAAAAGAGAAACCAAAGUUACUUGUGUUCUAUUUAACUAGAGGAAAAAAAGACUUCUGAACUGAUAGCUCAGUCUGUUCACAUUCAUAAUGUUCAAACCACAACCUACUGAGUUCUACUUGUCAAUAAUAUGGGAAGAUCUGGUUGCUAUGAUAUUUCAAAUUCUUUUUUUAUAUUUUUAAAAUUGCAUUCCCUUGGUGAUAUCUAGUCAGGAGGUGUGAUUCUAGUUUGUGUUGAACAAAUGUUUUUAACUCUAAGGUGUUAUACUAUAAUUGAGAUCUUUCCAACUACUGCUUAGAAGACAACAUUUGCAAAUGCCUGUUUUAAUUGCAAGAAACACACCCAUUCCAGAUUAUUUUGUUAUUGAUUUUCUGAGUACACAUCUAUUAUUACCAUGGUUGUGAGAUCACUUAAGAAAUAAACAAAUAUCAUUUAGAAACAGACUACAGAACCUAGUCACAUAUGAAGAGAAGAAUGCUUUAUGAUAGUUCAGACAUUGGUAGGAAAUCAAAGGAAAUUCACGUUUUUGAUUACUCACCCUAAAAUAUGCUGAAAUUGAACAUUUGCAACCCAAGUAACCAAAGAUAUAUUGAAGAAAACUAUAACUUACUACAUAUUGAGUUCAUUUCAAUCACAGUAGUCUAUUUUAAAAACAAACUCCCAUAAGGAAUAUAGGAAUGGAAUCCAUUCAAAGCAACAGCUGUCAAAAGUUCUGCCAAGAAACUCAGAGUAAUUUAUUGCAUCAUGAAAGGUGAGGUGUUCAAAAGAACAAAUAGUUCAAUCAUAUUCUUUCCCUUCAGACUUUAUUUUCUGCCUCAAUCCAAGAGAAAUAUCUAGAUCUAAAACUCAUUAAAACGUGUUUUCAUAUUCUAAGGCUGAUUAAGUAAAUAAAAUUCAACAUGGUAAAUAGAAGAAACCCUUAUAAUCCAUUUUUAGUAUUGCUAGAGGCUAGAAGACUCAACUUGGAAUCAGGUUGGCAUCCCAACUCUGCCACCAGCUACCUCUUUCUAUGGAUUCUUGGGCAAGGAACUGGCUUCUUAGGGCCUCGAUUUCCUCACAAGCAAACUGCAGGAGAUGGGUACAGGUCCUCUCAGCUCUGACAUCCUAUUCUCCAAUAAUAGUAAAAUGGGCAUAAUUUCCAGUUAAGCUGCCUCCUCUCCCAAUCAGGCCCAAAGCACUUCUCUAAUAUUUAAAGAGGAGUUAGAUCCUUAAUUAAGGCAAAUAUCUGCCUUGAUUACAACAUGCACCUCCAUUCCAGAUAUCUGCCUUUUCAUUUUGCUUCAUGUCUGCUGGAUAGGGAGGUGGCAAAAGCAAUACAUCACAUUCAAGAGAUACUGAGAUACCCAAUAAGCCCGCUACCAACUCCUACUGUGCUUUCAUCUUUGGGACUAAAGGAUCCCUAUGGAGGUAGAGCACUUAACAACAAGGUCAUUAAACCCCCAUGGAUGGGGGCAACAUGGACCCUGUCCAAGAAUUCUCCCCAAGCAGGUCUAAUUUUUGAGUAGAUUUAUACAAGAGGUAUAAUAGUGAUUUCAAUAACCCAGCCUUCCUAUAAAUCACAUUAAAGGCUCACAGAAACAUUAUCAAGAGUUAUAAUCCUAAACUGAAAGUGCACAUCCUAAAAAAACAGAGAAAUACAGGAUGAACACUAGUUAGGUAAUAAUAAUGAGAAGUGUGUAUGUAUGUAUAUGUGUGUGUGUGUAUUUAAUUGCUUUUUAAAAAUCCACUUCUAAGCAACUAAUAAACUGUGGUCACUAUUAAGUUCAGUCAAGAAGGCUGGGUAUAGAGAUUAUUGGCGUGUGCUUUAAUGCAAUGCCUAUCUUAAAACAUUGGUGAGACUAUGCAACUCACGGGGCUUUGAUCAUCCAGUGCAAGUUUUUUCCUUUAAUGAAAACCAAGCCAACUAAUGGAAACCUCAACCUCCUAAUUGGGCUCACUCUGGCACUGACUUGAUGGGGGAAAACAACAUGUCAAUAUUUUUUAAAUGCAUAAUGUAGACUAACAUUCCUUAGUUUGUAUGUCUGUUUAAUGGAUAUGAAGUGCUACGUUGAGUGAGUGCAUAUGGACUGGAAGAUUAGGAGAUAAAAUGCAUGCUAGUCUUUCCUGGAUUGAAUAUAACAAAAGGCAAACAUGCUGUGAAGUGUCUGCAACAAGGACACUGUUGAUAAAAUUUGCUGCAGCCCCCCAGAUCUCAGAACAUGGGAAAAGAGGUUACCUAAAAAAUCUGCAAUGACCCAUUCACAACCUUAGAAAGGGUUUAAACUGACUCCAAACCCUUCCCACAAGGACAAAAAAAGACAGCCAAAAGGGAAGGAAAGGUACAAUAGAGAAAUAGUUCAAGUUUUGUGAUUUCCAAAAUCAAAUCAAUGCAAAAUCCUUUAAUAUGCAUAGAACAGAAUCAACAAUUUGUUUUUCUUUGGAAAAAUAUCAUCUGUUUGAGCCUUUCUCUUCGGCUAUUAAGCUAUUGAUAAAGCUUGCCAAUGGAAAAGGAAGCAUUAAAUAAAUGCCUACUUUUUCUAAAAGCCAUCAACUCGACCAAAAUCAAAGGCUUAAUCCUACAUUCUGCAAACCUAUCCGAAACUACUUCAAAAAGGAGCCUAGGCACACCCCACCCCUCUGUCCUAAGAAUGGGUAAAUUAGCAAAAUGUACAAGAGACAGCGUUUCUUCCAUCAGUCUCUGGAAGUGAUGUUAAAGCUGGUGUGCCCCAAUCCCUCUACGGUUGGUCAAUGCUCACUUUCAACUUGGGCUUUCAGGAGAAGCAGUGGCUA